GGACGAACGCUGGCGGCGUGCCUAAUACAUGCAAGUAGAACGCACAGUUUAUACCGUAGCUUGCUACACCAUAGACUGUGAGUUGCGAACGGGUGAGUAACGCGUAGGUAACCUGCCUGGUAGCGGGGGAUAACUAUUGGAAACGAUAGCUAAUACCGCAUAAUAUUAAUUAUUGCAUGAUAAUUAAUUGAAAGGUGCAAUUGCACCACUACCAGAUGGACCUGCGUUGUAUUAGCUAGUAGGUGAGGUAACGGCUCACCUAGGCGACGAUACAUAGCCGACCUGAGAGGGGGAUCGGCCACACUGGGACUGAGACACGGCCCAGACUCCUACGGGAGGCAGCAGUAGGGAAUCUUCGGCAAUGGACGAAAGUCUGACCGAGCAACGCCGCGUGAGUGAAGAAGGGUUUCGGAUCGUAAAGCUCUGUUGUAAGAGAAGAACGGGUGUGAGAGUGGAAAGUUCACACUGUGACGGUAUCUUACCAGAAAGGGACGGCUAACUACGUG
Molecule: ribosomal RNA, 506 nt
Filed under: uncultured bacterium
Lineage: Bacteria
Description: partial 16S ribosomal RNA
Rfam family: Bacterial small subunit ribosomal RNA
Source: RNAcentral